AGAAUUCCAGAUACACAAGCUUCAUACUUGGAAGAAGGAAGGUUUUCUGUCAUGGAAAUGCAUCCCCCAAAUGUCUCAAAUUCUGAAACCUGUAAAAAAUUUGUCCUUAGUUUUAAAGAUGAUUUAGAAAAUGUUGAUGAUUUCAUUGGUGCUCACUGUAUCUCUGCUGUGAAAAAAACGCAUAGAUGAACUUGAUUCUUCUGCAUCAGAAGUAAAGCCACAAUAUGGAUUAUCAAGGCAAUUCAACCACAGUCGUGAUGCCAAAUCUAGGAUAUCUAUUGAAAAUCUAGAUGAGAUUUCUUCUGGGUCAAGUACUUUGACUGACCCAUACCAACAAUAAGAGAA
This is a long non-coding RNA of Pristis pectinata (smalltooth sawfish), 345 nucleotides long. RefSeq lists it as uncharacterized. The transcript is spliced from 3 exons. The record is from RefSeq and is a predicted model, not a curated record. Lineage: Eukaryota; Metazoa; Chordata; Chondrichthyes; Rhinopristiformes; Pristidae.